This 2656-nucleotide ribosomal RNA is filed under the name human oral metagenome. RNAcentral's name for it is "bacterial LSU rRNA". The stretch from base 715 to 2656 matches the Rfam family "Bacterial large subunit ribosomal RNA", at positions 1 to 2555 of the family's 2925-position model. The record is from RNAcentral.
UGAGACGCACCAUAUCCAUAAGCUUGAUGCCCCCAGUGGCACGGCGAUCACGCUGGCUGAGACUAUCCUCGCUGGACGUCCCGAGCUCCAUGGAUGGGAGCUGACGGAUAAGCCUGAGCCAGGUGUCCUGCCUAUCAUUGCGCAUCGUGAGGGCGAAGUCCCAGGGAUACAUACUGUGACUUAUACCUCAGAGGUCGAUCGUAUCGUCCUGACUCAUGAGGCAUUUGGUCGUCAGGGCUUUGCUCUUGGGGCGGUAUUGGCAGCUGAAUACGCCUACACGCACCGCGGUUGGCUGACGAUGGAUGACCUCCUUCAGCUUCGCUAAGUAGUCACUACUCUCCCGAUGCAUAUACACCAUAAUUAUAUAUAGAGCACCGAAUGAAAUCGCAUCCGAUAGCAGGCCUUACUCCGGGACAGCGCACAUGGCGCCAUAUCAAGGGCGGGAUUCUGAUUCUUCUUCUUAUAGCCUUUGCUUGCUGGGCAAGCUGGUGGUGGCUGAUUCUCCUGCCCCUCCUCAUCGACUUCUACUUUACGCGAUGGAUCAACUGGCGUUAUCUGCGAGAGCACCCCAACCCCACCGUGCGCCUCCUUGGCGGUCUGGUCGAGGAUAUCAUCUUCGUGGUCUUCACCGUGUCGAUUAUCUUCACCUACUUCUUCCAGAACUUUGCCAUCCCCUCCUCCUCGCUGGAGAAGACGCUUCUCAUCGGUGAUUAUCUCUUCGUAAAUAAGCUGAGCUAUGGCCCUCGUGUGCCGAUGACCCCCGUGGCCUUCCCCUUAGCACACAAUACCAUUCUCGGGCAUAAGUCCUAUCUCGAUGAGCCUUCGCUCCCUUAUCGUCGCCUCAAGGGCUUUGGGAAGGUCGAGCGUAAUGAUCUCGUCGUCUUCAACUUCCCCGCAGGGGAUACGGUGGCACUCAAUAUGCCUAACCCUGAUUACUACACGCUGUGUGCUACUUAUGGUCGCGAUGCCGUGUGGAGUGAUCGAGCUCAGUUGGUCGAGAGGGAAACAGCCCAGAUCGUCGGUUAAGGCCCCUAAGGGUGUGCUCAGUGGGAAAGGAUGUGGGAUCGCGAAGACAGCCAGGAGGUUGGCUUAGAAGCAGCCAUCCUUGAAAGAGUGCGUAAUAGCUCACUGGUCGAGUGGUUCUGCGCCGAUAAUGUAGCGGGGCUUAAGCACACCGCCGAAACCGCGGCAACACACUUGGUGUGUUGGGUAGGGGAGCGUCGUGCAUGUGUUGAAGCUACUUGGUGACAGGUGGUGGAGUGUGUGCGAGUGAGAAUGCAGGCAUGAGUAACGAUUGAUGUGUGAGAAACAUAUCCGCCGGAUGACUAAGGGUUCCUGGGUGAAGUUUGUCUUCCCAGGGUGAGUCGGGGCCUAAGGCGAGGCCGACAGGCGUAGUCGAUGGAGAACGGGUUGAUAUUCCCGUACCCGUGUGCGUGCGACAAGUGAUGAAUCUUAUGGUACUAACCGCCCGCCUACGUGCACUGGUCUUUUUGGUUGGUGUGUGUGGGUGCGUGGGAUCUUCGUGGGUAGUAGUCAAGUGAUGGGGUGACGCAGAGUGGUAGCUAGGCUUCCUUAUUGGAUUGGAGUGCAAGCGUGUGGCCUGUGGGGUUGGGAAAUCCGCCCCGCGUAUCAGGUGAGGCGUGAUGCGGACACCAUGUUGUGGUGGUAGUUAGUGUGCCUGUGCUGCCUAGAAAAGCCUCUAGCGAGUGCGUGCAUGGCCCGUACCGGAAACCGACACAGGUGGUCAGGUAGAGAAUACUAAGGCGUUCGGGUGAACUGUGGUUAAGGAACUCGGCAAAAUGCCCCCGUAACUUCGGGAGAAGGGGGACCAUUACUGGUUGCUGACAGCAUUAUAGCUGGUGGUGGUCGCAGAGGAGAGAGGGAAGCGACUGUUUAUUAAAAACACAGGUCCGUGCGAAAACGUGGAAGUUGAGGUAUACGGACUGACGCCUGCCCGGUGCUGGAAGGUUAAGAGGACCCGUUAGUGCGCCUAGUGUGUGCGAGGCGGAGAAUUGAAGCCCCAGUAAACGGCGGUGGUAACUAUAACCAUCCUAAGGUAGCGAAAUUCCUUGUCGGGUAAGUUCCGACCUGCACGAAUGGCGUAACGACUUCCCUGCUGUCUCAACCACAGGCCCGGUGAAAUUGCAGUACGAGUAAAGAUGCUCGUUUCGCGCGGCAGGACGAAAAGACCCCGGGACCUUUACUAUAGCUUGGUAUUGGUGUUUGGUCAUGCUUGUGUAGGAUAGGUGGGAGACUGUGAAGCCGCAACGCUAGUUGUGGUGGAGUCGCAGGUGAAAUACCACUCUGGUGUGAUUGGGUACCUGAACCUUGGCCCGUGAUCCGGGUUGGGGACAGUGCCUGGUGGGUAGUUUAACUGGGGCGGUUGCCUCCUAAAUGGUAACGGAGGCGCCCAAAGGUUUCCUCAGUCUGGUUGGCAAUCAGAUGGUGAGUGUAAGUGUAUAAGGGAGCUUGACUGUGACACUGACGGGUGGAGCAGGUGCGAAAGCAGGGACUAGUGAUCCGGCAUCUACGUGUGGUUGUGGUGUCGCUCAACGGAUAAAAGGUACCCCGGGGAUAACAGGCUGAUCUUCCCCAAGAGUUCAUAUCGACGGGAUGGUUUGGCACCUCGAUGUCGGCUCGUCGCAUCCUGGGGCUG